GGGAAACAAACUGGGAUAAUUUAUUUCUUUUUGGAUACACAAAACACAUUUUUGAAUGUUCCGACAGUUUCAUAACAAACAGUUUUCACUAUGGCUAUUAUAAAUCAAGGCAUACUUACACAGGAAAGUAUUCACAGACAUAAAAUUAGUUUAGCAGACAAGAGAAAAUGGAUAAAAGACAUGAGUAGUUGACAGUUAUGACUGAUGGAGAGAAGGUGUCUCUCAUUCACAAUAAUCCAGGAUUUGGAAUGAAAUGAAGGUCAACAGAGGAAGAACUCCAAGUCAGUGUCAGCCUGUUGGCAGCUGGAGCGCCACUGUCGCCAAGGGAGACAACUAGGCACUCACUGUCCCUUCUCCAUUGGUGACGUUUCCAGGGAUCAGGUGGGAGUUGAAAUGACAAGAGAAAGGGUUUUGUAAAUAAGGCCACAGGAAUUAUCACACUGCUCAGUGUUCUGGAUCAUCUGACUCAUCGCCACCUCUGACAAUGGCAUCCAGGCCUAUUCUGUGGAAGGGUCUCAUUUUCUUCUGUAUUGCAACUUCCAAAGUUUCAGGUCCAGUCCCCACAAUUAUUUUCCUUUAACCUCUCAGGCUGAAAUAUCAGAACAUUUAUAUCCUAUUCUUCCAGUUGUCAGAUUAGUUUCAUGUCCUCCUGCGGUUCUUCUCCAGCGUUAGCGUAUCUUUCCUCUGGUGUGGACACAGAGCUAUGUACAGUAUUCUGGAUGAGAACUCUUCUGUUUGUUUUACAAUGCCCUUCCUAAUGACCUCACAUUGGUGUUGCUCUCUGUGGCUAAAGAACCAUGCUAAUCUGGACUACCAUGUUCAAAGAACAAAAGGAUUGCCUAUGACACCCCACUGGCUUGCUUGCCUUGGUUUA
Molecule: long non-coding RNA, 874 nt
Filed under: Bos taurus (domestic cattle)
Lineage: Eukaryota; Metazoa; Chordata; Mammalia; Artiodactyla; Bovidae
Description: long non-coding RNA NONBTAT017775
Source: RNAcentral